CAGUUUAUACCGUAGCUUGCUACACCAUAGACUGUGAGUUGCGAACGGGUGAGUAACGCGUAGGUAACCUACCUAUUAGAGGGGGAUAACUAUUGGAAACGAUAGCUAAUACCGCAUAACAGUAUGUAACACAUGUUAGAUGCUUGAAAGAUGCAAUUGCAUCGCUAGUAGAUGGACCUGCGUUGUAUUAGCUAGUAGGUAGGGUAAUGGCCUACCUAGGCAACGAUACAUAGCCGACCUGAGAGGGUGAUCGGCCACACUGGGACUGAGACACGGCCCAGACUCCUACGGGAGGCAGCAGUAGGGAAUCUUCGGCAAUGGGGGGAACCCUGACCGAGCAACGCCGCGUGAGUGAAGAAGGUUUUCGGAUCGUAAAGCUCUGUUGUUAAGGAA
Molecule: ribosomal RNA, 393 nt
Filed under: uncultured Streptococcus sp.
Lineage: Bacteria; Bacillati; Bacillota; Bacilli; Lactobacillales; Streptococcaceae
Description: bacterial SSU rRNA
Rfam family: Bacterial small subunit ribosomal RNA
Source: RNAcentral